GUUAUAUAUUAGCAUAGAGAGAGUGUCAUUCAGAGCGAAGUGACGACACCAUCUUUUUUAUUUGGAUUAGUGCUGUUUCACUCUUACGCAUAGUAAAGCUGCUACAGUUGUCCUACUCUUCCGUGCCUAUGUUCACACUGAAUGUCAUCAUAGAUUUUUGAUACAAUGUGUUAGAAAGAGAUGCAGCAAACCAGUCCAUGAGAUCUUGUCGUCAGGAAGCGCGGAAGGUAGGCUCCCUCUAUGUUAAUAUAUACCUCUAUGGUUACACUUUUGAGUGAAGUGUAAAUUCUAUGGACAUUUGAGUGUAAAUUACAGCGGAUGUGACAGCGGCUCAUGACAGCGGACAGUAUUAAACGAAAAUUAUCGGUGUGCCAAUCAAGCAAAGGGACAAGGAACUUCCGAAUAUGGCCUAACUGGGGGCACAUAACAUAACCUAAUCCUAAUAUUUACAAAGAAUAUCCUGCUUGUUUUUAUUUUUUAUUGUCGAUUGUGCAGCGAAAUUGUGAUAGCAAAUCAAAUAUAAAGUAGUUUAUCGCCUACAGAACUGAAUUAGUCCAUAGCAGUUAUCAGUUUGCAAGUAGCAAGGGCUUUCUUGAUAAGCUUAUACAUGUAACUUGUAUUGUUGUAAAUUGUGGGAGUAGGGCAGAGAGGGAAAAGUCUUAUUUUGUACUGUUCCCAAGGCUCCCCAUGCAAUACAUUUAAAUGAAUUAUCCAAACAUAGCCGGGGACAAUGGAUAAAAGCAACAAGAACAGAUAUAAGGGAACUAAAAUUAAAAUAUGAAAAGUAAACAUUUUAUAAGUGGAACAACCACCAGAUAUUUAAAAGGUAUAAAAAGAAGAAACUGCUGGAAUUUCAAAACAAAUGUGUUUGACUAGUAAAGAUUUGGAUAAAUAACAGGAGUUACUUUGGGCUAUAGCUACGUGCAGAUUUAUUUCCUUGUGGCUUCCUAUGUUAAUUCUUAUUAAUUAUACACUUAAAUAUGUUUUUAGUCUCAGGAAGAUUUUAUAUUUGAUUAUUUUUGAAUAAACAUUAUUAUUAUUA
This is a long non-coding RNA of Diabrotica virgifera virgifera (western corn rootworm), 1042 nucleotides long. RefSeq lists it as uncharacterized. The transcript is spliced from 2 exons. NCBI's taxonomy places the organism in Eukaryota, Metazoa, Arthropoda, Insecta, Coleoptera, Chrysomelidae. The record is from RefSeq and is a predicted model, not a curated record.